UGUGGUAUUUUAAUAGUUAAUUCCUCACAUUUUGCUUAGUUAAUUCAUUAACGAAUCGAUUUUUAACUCAAUUUCUAUUUUCUUAGGUACAUUGGAGUAAAUGAUGGUGAAAUGAGCAUUAGGUCCACACUUACCUAUAAAUGGUGGAGAAAAAUGGAAAUGUACUAAAAUGUCAAUUUUACACAUUUUCCUACUCCGGCUAGGAGAAACCAAGCCAAGCAAGGAAGAAGGAGCGGCCGCCGGACCAAAUGAACUUCAAAUGAGCUGAAACUUUCCAGAUCCAUUCUAGACAGCCCAAGGAUCAUUUCUUAUGAAGAGUGCAAGAACUUUUGUUGAGUGGAAGGCCUUCAAACAAUCAGCCCAAUUUUCUACAGAAGCAAAACUGGAAAACUGGACCUGUAAGAGGUCCAGCAGCAUUUUCGGCCCAACCACAUGGAAUAAAAAUCUGAAAUUUUACCAGGGUGAUCUACACUCAUAAUGGAACAUUUUUUAUGAAGAGGUCAUAGUGAAAUUGGGAAUGCUUGUUGGAGAAAUAAUUGAAGGAAUAAAGGGGCAGAAACUGAUCUAAAAAACAGCUCAACAUCACAUGUUCAUGUUUCCUACCCACAUGAAGAAAGCUAGAUGCUUUUCUCUUUUUCCUUGGAUAUAUUUUUCUGCUCCAAUAGAUCAUCAUCACUUCCAUACUUCUGCACAUUCAUGCCUUGCUUUCAUUUCAUCAUUACUCCAUCUUUUCCAUAUUUUACAAACCACUUUCAUUAUUUUUCUUCCAUUUAUCAUUUCACUCUUCUUUUUCUUCCCUAUAUAAACACCUUCUCCUCUCACUCUAAUACAUUCCUUCAUCCAUUCCAUCUUCUUUGUCUCUCCAUUUCCUUUCCAUUUUCCUUUCCAACAUCCUCUAGGGCAAGCCACGAAGUUCAAGCAAGGCCAAGGAAGAGAAGAACCAAGCCGUGAGCAUCAUCAUCCAUCCUCCACCUUUGAAGCUUGCUUUCGAGUCUCAAAGGAUUCAACGUUAUUCACCCAUCUUCAUCUUCCAUCCACGGUGUAAUUCGACCUCUACUUUGUAACCUUUGCUUUGUAUUUCUUUGGUUUUGCCUUAGUUGACAUAUAUGUUUGAACAAUUGUUAAUUUCUGGAAUUUUAUGAUUAAUUGAGAAUUUUCAGAUUCAUAUAUUGUGAUUCAAGAGUUGCUUAUGUGGGUUUGUUUAAUUAAAUUUGCAUUAUGGAUAACUUUUGUAUUUUAAUCUUAUGUGGUUGCAAACACUUAGGGUUUCGAUAUAAUUGGUGCUAGGUUUAAGAACAUGAAAUCGACUUUUCGUUUUGUGUAAACUUGAAUCAAAGUAGUAAAGGUUUUGUACAAAGAUCGAAUUUAAUUAAAGAGAAUUGCAAUUAGGUGGACUUUUCCAUACUAAGUUGUACACUUGAGUUGAUAGCCUUUCUCUAUGUGUAAUGCGUUAAACAUGACAUGAUUGACUAGCUUUCUAGGGUUUGAUUGCAUGUUUGAUAGGAUUAAUCUAGGUGCUUUCGCUUAGGUUAAUUAGCAUUGAAAAGUAAAAAAUGGGAAUUCAUUUGCUUUCGAAUGUUUCACAUGAUCAACUCCUUUCUCAUGACUUAGAUGAACAAUAUUAGGGUUUGAAUCAAUUUUAAUCAUAAGUUUCGGUUUUGAUCUUUGUUCUCUCAUUCCAUUCGUUUAAUUAUGUUUAUGUGUUUUAUUUGUUUUCUUAACUUAGUUUAUUUUCGAAUCCAAAAUCCAAAAUUCCCCCUUUUUCGUAAAUAUGUUUAUACUUGUGAAUAUCUUUGUGAUUAUAUUACUUUGUUUUAAUUUUAAUUGUUUAAUUGUUUGACAAUGACAGGUGUACCCUCAAUCCCCGGAAUAGAACGAUCCCUACUUGCUUAUACUACUAAUGAUAUUUAUAGGGUUAAAUUAUGCGCUUGCUUUGAGCGUAUCAAUUUUUGGCGCCGUUGCCGGGGAAUUGAAAAAUCACUUGUUUUUGUUUAUAAUUGUUGUAUAUAAACUGUUUGAUACUUAGUUUAAAUUAACUAGGUUGUUUUUUUUUAUUGUUGAAUACGAGUUUAAUUGUGAGUUGUAAAUUAAAGAAGGAAUAGGUGAAGUCGUGUUUAUUAAUAUUGGCCUAAACCCCUUAUUGGUACCUAGUUCAGGUCCCUUAAGGUUGAGGGCGGCCUUUAUUAACAUUCAUUGAACUGUCUAACACACUUAGGACCUUUUACAUCCUAGUAAGAAUAUCCUAUGUGAGAUGGUGUCUAGGAAGGGGAUAACGUUCAUGACGGGUUUUUGAAUCCAGAAGUGCUUAUAAAUGGGCUUAGCUCAUGCCAAAAUGGAUUUUUCCUCUCGUGUUCACCCUCCCCUACCUGGCCAUUUCAGUAAGGUUGCCCAACGGAUGUAGGAGGGACUUUGUGUCUAGACGACUAUACUUGGGCCGCACGUCCAUUUGAUUUACCGCUUGGAAUUAUAUUUGAUAUCAAUAAUGUUUAUAACAAAAGAAAUACUUGUGCAUACUCUUUACGUGUAAAUUAUUUUGUUGUUUCACACUUUAUACUUGUAAAAAUACUUUUUACGUUUUAUACUCACUUGUGUACUUAACUUGUGUCAUAUGUACAAAAUACUUGUUAAUUAUACUUGUAGUUUGUAAUUCAUAGUUACUUGUUUAUUUUUUUUUUGUAUUUCUUUGUUAAUAUUAAGUUACUAACUUUAUUUAAUGUAGGUACCGUCUGGCUGCAAGACGUAAAAUACAAGCGCUGCUUGGGAGGCAACCCAAUUCAGAAUAUAAUCAGAUUUGCUUUCUCUUCCCCUUUUACUCCUCCAUUUUCUUUUUGUUUUAGUAGUUAUUUUCGUAAAUUCCAUCACUAUAUGCUUACUUAUUUCAUUGCAUGCUUUUAAUUGAUUACAUUGAGGAUAAUGCAAUAUUUAAGUGUGGGGGAAGGGAUUUAUAUUUUUGUCUUUCAUUUUGAAUCCUAUAAAUAUUUUUGUCUUUCAUUUUGUGUCCUAUAAAUAUUUUUGAGUCCUAUAUUUUUAAUAAUAAUAAAAAAAAAAUAAAAAUAAAUAAAAAUAAAAUAAAAAUAAAAAUAAAAUAAAAUGCAUUCAUUCAGUCUUAUUAAAUUCAGCUUUUUACAAAAAAAAAAAAAAAUAAUAAUAAUAAUAAAAAAAAUUAAAAAAAAAAUAAUAAUAAAAAAAAAAAAAAAAAAUGCAUUCAUUCAGUCUUAUUAAUUUCAGCUAUUUACAAAAAAAAUAAAUAAAUAAAUAAAUAAAUAAUAAUAAGAAUAAUAAAAAAAAAAAUAAAAAAAAAUAAUAAUAAUAAUAAUAAUACUCUAUACUAAGCCAUGUCUGCAUCUCUGUAGGAGUUGAGGCUGAGCUCAAGGGAAAUGUGAGAGCCACCGCCAUAACCGCUACCUCCCUCGGAAGUAGUCUUCAUGAUGCCCAAGAUGUCCUCACCAUGCAUGGGGAACAAUGGAAGGGUUUCAAUCUCCUGGUGAUCUCCUCCUCGUUGUUGCUGGGAUGUUUGUCCUCCUGUUGUGCCAAAAGAGUUGUACUGGUAUUAGUGUUGAAGUGUGAGGAAGAAUAUGAAACAAAUUUUAAAUCAAGAAAUCAUUCAUUACCAGUAGAAUCGGUGGAACCAAAGUUGAGAUUAAUGGAUCUACCAUCAUCAGUAGAACUAGUGGACCCAAAAUUGAUGUCAAUGGAUCCACCAGCUGGCCCAAAAUUGAUGUCGAUGGAUCCACCAGCACCAGUAGAACCAGUGGACCCAAAAUUGAGAUCAAUGGAUCCACCAGUACCAGGAGAACUAGUUCCCAUGGGCACUUGAGCAGCCUGAUUGCACCUCUUCAUCUGCUUCUCUCGAGCCCUGACAUUCUGGAACCAAAAAUAAAUGUUCUUGCCCUCAACAUGUCCAUACUGGUUCAGCUGGAGACAGAUCUCGUGAAUAUGCUCUGUAGUUGGGCGCUUAACUCCCUUGUCGUAGUAAAGAUCCUUGAGGAUCCUUAUUUGAUCUGGAGUAGGAACCCACCUGGCACGGCUUCGCCAGAAAUCUGUGUUGGCACUACUCCCGGCUGCUUGGUUGUUUCCUCCAUCCUCGAUUUGUUGCUGGGUUUGUAGCUCCAUCAGUUGCAGAGUUCGUGGUUCCAUGGUGAUGGGUUGAGGGGAUGUGAAGAUCGAAGAGUAAAGUUGUCAAGUGUUUGAAGGAGUUGUUGUUAAAGGGAUUAAGGAUGAUGAUGGUGUGUUGGAGAUCUGAAAGUUCAGAGGAAAGAUGGGAUUGAAUCAACUAGAUGGGAGAGAAGAUCAGAAGAGAAGGAUUGAAUCGAAGAAGAAAUAUUUUGAGUUUUGAAAGAAGAGGAAAAGCUGAAGAGUUGGGAGAGAGGGGCUGGAACUCAGGAGAGAUUUUCGUUCCUUUGGAGUGAACAGUUGCGCCCUCAGAAUGCACCUAUUUAUAGAGCGAGGUGAGCAGAUCUCCACCGUUGGAUGGACGAUUCCUGUGAUUCAUUCUACGCGUUGGAUUAAAGUCGCCCUGAAACCCGGAAAAGUUGUUGGCGCGUGGAGAGCGUGUAAGGGGACCGAGGGAAUCUCGAGGCGCUGUGGCAGACAGCUGUAGCCGAAAGCAGAUUUGACUGCCGUAAAUCACGGAAGGGAUAAGCCGUGACACAAGUGGGCCGUACUUGGGCCUGUCUCGGAUCAAGGCAUCACUGUAGCUGUGGGUGGAGGCCUGAUGGGCCGAGUUUCAGAAACAGUUUUGGACCUGAUGGGCUGAGUUUCAGAAACAGUUUUGGACAUGAUGGGCCGAGUUUCUGAAACAGUUUUGGAUGAGUUGGGCUGGGUUUCUGCAACAGUCUUGGAUGUUUUGUGCCGAAUUGUUGAAACAGUUGAAACAGUUGGUUUAAAUAAAAGGAUUGGUAUGGAUAAUAACGUGAGCAGCCGUGCUCGAGUGGUUGAGUGUAAAGUUCGUGUACAAGAGGUCUGAGGUUCGAACCUCGCCUCUCGUUUAUUUUUAUUAUGUUCGUUUAUGACAUAAUAAGUAUAAAAUUUGUACACAUUAUAUUAAGCACAACUUGUGCUCCAGUGGUUGGGGACAAAGGUUUCGUGUAGCAGGUUAAGGUUUCGAACCUUGCCUCCCCCGUUUUUUUUUAUUUAUGUCACUCCAUCAGAACCCUCCUCCGAAGGCUGAAACCAGCAAGAAGGCUGCCACUCGCCCGCAUACCGCUCCUCCAAAGGAGUAAAUGGAGGUACAAGUCUAGGCUGAAAGACUUUAAACAUUAAGCGCUGCAUGGGAGGCAACCCAUCUCAACCGUAGCUGUGGAGGAGCCAUCAACGCAGAUUUGCUCUCUUAAACUCUAUCUCCUCUAUUACUAUUUUCUGAUUGUAUCUUUGUUAUUUGCGUUUUUAGUUUUUGUUUUUAGGUUUUCUUGAGUUAAUCAUUCCAUUCACAUGAUAAUUGUUCAUUGCAUGCUCUAACUUGUUUAACAUUGAGGACAAUGUAUGAUUUAAGUGUGGGGGGAAGGAUUAAUGCUUGUAGUUAGUUUUUGUCAUAAAAAGAAAACAAAACAAAAAAAAAAAAAAUCGAAAAAUGUCAGAAAAAUAAAAAAUUUCGUUGCUUUUGUUUUUGUUUUGAGUCUUAGGAUGCCUUUCAACUGUCUGGGAUGAUUCUAUAUCUCUGAAAUCAUGACUAAAAGAGGAUCACAACAUUGAGAUGAUUUUAAACAUGGUAUUCUUUGGUUAAUUGAGAUAUAUGAAAAAUGUGUGCCUUGUAGUGGAUAUGGAUUGCAUGACCUUGGUACAGAAUAUGAGCAUGUUAAGAUGAGUUGUGAUUCAUAAAGCCCAUGUGAGAUAAUUGAACCAUGUCCCUUUUUCUUGGAGUGAAAUGAAAAAUAUAUUCUUAAUUUCUUGGCGAUGUUUUGAUGAUCUCAUUAUUCUUUCAUCUUGAUUGACUGCUUGCCAUAGAUUAAGUUUAAUUGACUAGAGAAUGCUAGAAUUCGCUCUUGUGCUUGUUGAGACGUGAUAUCAAUACAUGGCCCUGAUUCUGGAAGGGAUAGAGGUUCUCUAGGAAUUACCACCAUUGCCAAAUAAACUUGUGUCCCCAUUUGUGCCCGUCGUGGGACCCCCCUAGAUAAGCCCCUUUGAGCCUACAUUAAGCAUUUUCGUUCAUCACCCUUAAAAUCCUUAACCAUGAAGCUUAGUAUAGUUACAACCCUACCCUUUGUUCUAAGGACUUAGUGGAGCUAUCUUUUGAGACAUACUACAUGGGUUUGGUGCUAAGGAUGAAGAUUGAGAAGAGGUGAAAGUUCAAGUGUGGGGAUAGACUUGUCCAUAAAGAAAAAGAUAUGUUGAAGCCGUGAAAAAUGAAAAGAAAAGAGAAAAAUUGUGUACGGCUAAAAAGAAAAAAAAAAAAUAUAUAUAUAUGUUUAUGGACUUUCAUCCCCCAUACUUAGUGAUUUUGGAGUUUGCUUUGAAUUGAAGGCCCACUACAGAAAAAUUUGGCCUUUGUCCAUUUCACUAGAGUUCAAGGGAAGUUUAUAUUGAAGAUUGGGCCCAACAUGAAGACAUUUGGCCCUCUUAUAUUACCUCUAUGGAGAAGUGACGUUUUUGCAAUGCCUUGGUGAAAUAUUUCGAGAUCUCUACAUUCAUAUGAGCUCUACUAGGUUUUUAGGACACUUUGAUAAUCCUUACCUUUCAUUUCUUUAAACCUUGAGCCUUAGCCCCAUUACAACCUUUGAGAGGACCUUCUUGAUCCAUAAGAUGGGACAGCCUUUGAUGUGGAGAUGAGUUACAAGAGUUGAACCUAUGGCUUGGGUCCAUUCGUGCAAGUAGUUGAUAUCCUUCAUGAGAUCUUUUGAAAAAAAUUAUAUUCACAAAGUGCUUUUCGUUUCUUAUAUAUGUGAGCUAUUUGACUGCCUUAAAAUAUGUUCUCUCACAUAUAAAUGAGUGAUUAUAAGCUUUUAAGCAUUGCCUUGAUCUGAGAGAAGAAAAAGUGGAUAUACCUUGUGAGGAUAUGAAUCAUACUUGUCUGAAGCAUGCUAAGCUAAACCCCAAUCACCAUUAUUACAACCAAGUCCUACUUGUGUAUGUGUGGAUCAUAUGUUUUAAUUAACUCUCGAAUGCUUAACAUUGAUUCUUGGUUGAGUGCUAAUCUUGGUGUUGUGAAAGUAAGAGAUUUCUGAGACAAUAUGUUAAAGGGCAAUAGAGGUCUUUGUGAUGUCAACAUCUUGGUCUUUGUCUUUGAAUUUACUCUUUUAUGUGUGACGUUUUUUUUUUUUUUUUUUUUUUUUUUUUUUUUCUUUGUGUUUUGCUUUGUGUUUUACGUUUUUGGUUUCUUUGAGUCUUUGUGUUUUUGUUUCCAUACUUAGUCAUUUUUUUCGUUGGUUUCUUUGUUUUGUGUCAUAGUCUUUUUGGUUUGUUAGUUUUUGAUUUUGCUAAGGGACUAGCAAAAGCUAAGUGUGGGGGAAUUUGAUAGGAGCAUUUUAAUGUGGUAUUUUAAUAGUUAAUUCCUCACAUUUUGCUUAGUUAAUUCCUUAACGAAUCGAUUUUUAACUCAAUUUCUAUUUUCUUAGGUACAUUGGAGUAAAUGAUGGUGAAAUGAGCAUUAGGUCCACACUUACCUAUAAAUGGUGGAGAAAAAUGGAAAUGUACUAAAAUGUCAAUUUUACACAUUUUCCUACUCCGGCUAGGAGAAACCAAGCCAAGCAAGGAAGAAGGAGCGGCCGCCGGACCAAAUGAACUUCAAAUGAGCUGAAACUUUCCAGAUCCAUUCUAGACAGCCCAAGGAUCAUUUCUUAUGAAGAGUGCAAGAACUUUUGUUGAGUGGAAGGCCUUCAAACAAUCAGCCCAAUUUUCUACAGAAGCAAAACUGGAAAACUGGACCUGUAAGAGGUCCAGCAGCAUUUUCGGCCCAACCACAUGGAAUAAAAAUCUGAAAUUUUACCAGGGUGAUCUACACUCAUAAUGGAACAUUUUUUAUGAAGAGGUCAUAGUGAAAUUGGGAAUGCUUGUUGGAGAAAUAAUUGAAGGAAUAAAGGGGCAGAAACUGAUCUAAAAAACAGCUCAACAUCACAUGUUCAUGUUUCCUACCCACAUGAAGAAAGCUAGAUGCUUUUCUCUUUUUCCUUGGAUAUAUUUUUCUGCUCCAAUAGAUCAUCAUCACUUCCAUACUUCUGCACAUUCAUGCCUUGCUUUCAUUUCAUCAUUACUCCAUCUUUUCCAUAUUUUACAAACCACUUUCAUUAUUUUUCUUCCAUUUAUCAUUUCACUCUUCUUUUUCUUCCCUAUAUAAACACCUUCUCCUCUCACUCUAAUACAUUCCUUCAUCCAUUCCAUCUUCUUUGUCUCUCCAUUUCCUUUCCAUUUUCCUUUCCAACAUCCUCUAGGGCAAGCCACGAAGUUCAAGCAAGGCCAAGGAAGAGAAGAACCAAGCCGUGAGCAUCAUCAUCCAUCCUCCACCUUUGAAGCUUGCUUUCGAGUCUCAAAGGAUUCAACGUUAUUCACCCAUCUUCAUCUUCCAUCCACGGUGUACCCUCAAUCCCCGGAAUAGAACGAUCCCUACUUGCUUAUACUACUAAUGAUAUUUAUAGGGUUAAAUUAUGCGCUUGCUUUGAGCGUAUCACAGGCCAUGCUCGGCCGGCUUGAUGGGUGGAUCGAGAUGGUGUUGCCGGAUCGGAAGUCACUUGGUGGUGAUGGAAGUUUGGCGGCUUUGCUGGGUUCGUUUCGGCUCGGAUUGGAGCGUUUGGAUCCGAUCUUGGUUAGGCGGAUCAGACCCGAUCUGGGGAUGGGUGGUGCUGGUUGCCGGCGAGAUGAGGGAGCGUCAUGUGGGUGGUGCUGUUGCUUCCGGUGGUGGGACGGUACAGGCAUGAGUAGGCCUCAUCAUAUGGCCCUAAGCCCGCCCGGGCCGUAGGGCCGAAGCCCGGCCCUUCCAUUAGGGUGGGCCGGUCCGACCCUUUUUUAUUUAGGAUAGGGUAUGGGUCACACAAAUAAAGCCCGGCCCUACCCUACGGCCCGGCCCGAUUGAGCCCGUAAGGGCUAGGCCCGUCCCGGCCCUAAAAGCCCGGCCCUAACAUUUAUAUUUUAUUUUUGUUAUUUUCUAUUACAUGUGUUAUAUGUAUAAAACUAUGGAAGUGUAGAAAAUUAUUUCAAUUUGCCAUAUUAGGAAAUGAGUCUUUUAAAUUGAGCCAUAUUUUGAGAAGAAUAAAAUAAAUUUUUUUUAAGAA
Long non-coding RNA from Rosa rugosa (rugosa rose), 9200 nucleotides. RefSeq lists it as uncharacterized. Lineage: Eukaryota; Viridiplantae; Streptophyta; Magnoliopsida; Rosales; Rosaceae. The transcript is spliced from 2 exons. The record is from RefSeq and is a predicted model, not a curated record.